Molecule: ribosomal RNA, 492 nt
Filed under: uncultured bacterium
Lineage: Bacteria
Description: partial 16S ribosomal RNA
Rfam family: Bacterial small subunit ribosomal RNA
Source: RNAcentral
AGUGAACGCUGGCGGUAGGCCUAACACAUGCAAGUCGAACGGCAGCACAGUAAGAGCUUGCUCUUACGGGUGGCGAGUGGCGGACGGGUGAGGAAUACAUCGGAAUCUACUUUUUCGUGGGGGAUAACGUAGGGAAACUUACGCUAAUACCGCAUAUGACCUACGGGUGAAAGCAGGGGAUAUUCGGACCUUGCGCGAUUGAAUGAGCCGAUGUCGGAUUAGCUAGUUGGCGGGGUAAAGGCCCACCAAGGCGACGAUCCGUAGCUGGUCUGAGAGGAUGAUCAGCCACACUGGAACUGAGACACGGUCCAGACUCCUACGGGAGGCAGCAGUGGGGAAUAUUGGACAAUGGGCGCAAGCCUGAUCCAGCCAUACCGCGUGGGUGAAGAAGGCCUUCGGGUUGUAAAGACCUUUUGUUGGGAAAGAAAAGCAGCAGGUUAAUACCCCGCUGUUCUGACGGUACCCAAAGAAUAAGCACCGGCUAACUUCGUG